AAGUCGUAACAAGGUUUCCGUAGGUGAACCUGCGGAAGGAUCAUUAUCGUAGGGCUUCGGCCCUGUCGAGAUAGAACCCUUGCCUUUAUGAGUACCGUCCGCUUCCUCGGCAGGCCCGGCCAUAUGCCGAUUGGACCCAAAACCAAACCCUUUAUUACCUGUAAUCAAGUCUGAAAAUAACAAAAUUAAA
RNAcentral lists this unclassified non-coding RNA (190 nucleotides) under plant metagenome. RNAcentral's name for it is "partial contains small subunit ribosomal RNA and internal transcribed spacer 1". The stretch from base 1 to 46 matches the Rfam family "Eukaryotic small subunit ribosomal RNA", at positions 1786 to 1831 of the family's 1831-position model. The record is from RNAcentral.